CUCGGCAACGGAUAUCUCGGCUCUCGCAUCGAUGAAGAACGUAGCAAAAUGCGAUACCUGGUGUGAAUUGCAGAAUCCCGUGAACCAUCAAGUUUUUGAACGCAAGUUGCGCCCGAGGCCUUCUGGUCGAGGGCACGUCUGCCUGGGCGUCACGCCAAAAGACA
RNAcentral lists this ribosomal RNA (164 nucleotides) under Triodia stenostachya. Its description in RNAcentral is "5.8S ribosomal RNA". It matches the Rfam family "5.8S ribosomal RNA". Rfam says of the family: 5.8S ribosomal RNA (5.8S rRNA) is a component of the large subunit of the eukaryotic ribosome. RNAcentral also lists the same sequence under 13 other names. Lineage: Eukaryota; Viridiplantae; Streptophyta; Magnoliopsida; Poales; Poaceae. The record is from RNAcentral.